GAUGUCUCAGGACGUCCUUUCAAUAUCUCAUCUCUUACUACAUCAAGAAGAUUUUCUGGAAGCUGCACAACACCAUUCAAUAUCUGCAUAACCACACUCAUAUCCGGUCUUAUUGACUCAGAUUGAUGUGAACACAACACACCUAGCUUCAAAACCAGCUCAAUCUCUCCCCUGUUUUGUUCUUGACGUAUACAUUCCUCUGCCGCAUCGAAAAUGUUCCCAUUUACCCAAAGCUCUAAGA
Molecule: long non-coding RNA, 241 nt
Organism: Arabidopsis thaliana (thale cress)
Lineage: Eukaryota; Viridiplantae; Streptophyta; Magnoliopsida; Brassicales; Brassicaceae
Product: other RNA
Exons: 1
Source: RefSeq